UACGUAGGGUGCAAGCGUUAAUCGGAAUUACUGGGCGUAAAGCGUGCGCAGGCGGUCUCGCAAGUCAGGUGUGAAAUCCCCGGGCUUAACCUGGGAACUGCAUUUGAAACUACGAGGCUAGAGUGUGUCAGAGGGGGGUAGAAUUCCACGUGUAGCAGUGAAAUGCGUAGAGAUGUGGAGGAAUACCAAUGGCGAAGGCAGCCCCCUGGGAUAACACUGACGCUCAUGCACGAAAGCGUGGGGAG
Molecule: ribosomal RNA, 245 nt
Filed under: uncultured Derxia sp.
Lineage: Bacteria; Pseudomonadati; Pseudomonadota; Betaproteobacteria; Burkholderiales; Alcaligenaceae
Description: partial 16S ribosomal RNA
Rfam family: Bacterial small subunit ribosomal RNA
Source: RNAcentral